GGCAACUUGGCUGAGUGGUUAAAGCGAUUGACUAGAAAUCAAUUCCAUUCGUGGGCGCAUGUUCGAAUCAUGCAGUUGUCG
Molecule: transfer RNA, 81 nt
Rfam family: tRNA
About the family: Transfer RNA (tRNA) molecules are approximately 80 nucleotides in length. Their secondary structure includes four short double-helical elements and three loops (D, anti-codon, and T loops). Further hydrogen bonds mediate the characteristic L-shaped molecular structure. tRNAs have two regions of fundamental functional importance: the anti-codon, which is responsible for specific mRNA codon recognition, and the 3' end, to which the tRNAs corresponding amino acid is attached (by aminoacyl-tRNA synthetases). tRNAs cope with the degeneracy of the genetic code in two manners: having more than one tRNA (with a specific anti-codon) for a particular amino acid; and 'wobble' base-pairing, i.e. permitting non-standard base-pairing at the 3rd anti-codon position.
Source: Rfam